GACGAACGCUGGCGGCGUGCUUAACACAUGCAAGUCGAACGGAAAGGCCCUGCUUUUGUGGGGUGCUCGAGUGGCGAACGGGUGAGUAACACGUGAGUAACCUGCCCUUGACUUUGGGAUAACUUCAGGAAACUGGGGCUAAUACCGGAUAGGAUCUCCUGCUGCAUGGUGGGGGUUGGAAAGUUUCGGCGGUUGGGGAUGGACUCGCGGCUUAUCAGCUUGUUGGUGGGGUAGUGGCUUACCAAGGCUUUGACGGGUAGCCGGCCUGAGAGGGUGACCGGCCAAAUUGGGACUGAGAUACGGCCCAGACUACUCCGGGAGGCAGCAGUGGGGAAUAUUGCCCAAUGGGCGGAAGCCUGAUGCAGCAACGCCGCGUGCGGGAUGACGGCCUUCGGGUUGUAAACCGCUUUCGCCUGUGACGAAGCGUGAGUGACGGUAAUGGGUAAAGAAGCACCGGCUAACUCCGUG
Molecule: ribosomal RNA, 468 nt
Filed under: uncultured bacterium
Lineage: Bacteria
Description: partial 16S ribosomal RNA
Rfam family: Bacterial small subunit ribosomal RNA
Source: RNAcentral